AUUGAACGCUGGCGGCAUGCUUUAUACAUGCAAGUCGUGCGGCAGCGCGGGGGCAACUCUGCGGCGAGCGGCGAACGGGUGAGUAAUACAUAGGAACGUAUCCUGAAAUGGGGGAGUAGCUCGGCGAAAGCCGGAUUAAUACCGCAUACGCUCCACGGAGGAAAGCAGGGGAUCGCAAGACCUUGCGUUUCUGGAGCGGCCUAUGUCUGAUUAGCAGGUUGGCGGGGUAAGUANCCCACCAAGGCGACGAUCAGUAGCUGGUCUGAGAGGAUGAUCAGCCACACUGGGACUGAGACAC
RNAcentral lists this ribosomal RNA (298 nucleotides) under uncultured bacterium. RNAcentral describes it as "partial 16S ribosomal RNA". It matches the Rfam family "Bacterial small subunit ribosomal RNA", at positions 30 to 327 of the family's 1533-position model. The record is from RNAcentral.